UACGGGGAUGCAAGCGUUAUCCGGAUUUAUUGGGUUUAAAGGGUGCGUAGGCGGGCUAUUAAGUCAGUGGUGAAAUCCUGCAGCUUAACUGCUGAACUGCCGUUGAUACUGAUAGUCUUGAGUUUGGUUAAGGUAGGCGGAAUGUGUAAUGUAGCGGUGAAAUGCUUAGAUAUUACACAGAACACCAAUUGCGUAGGCAGCUUACUGAGCCGACACUGACGCUGAGGCACGAAAGCGUGGGGAUCAAACAGGAUUAGA
This 258-nucleotide ribosomal RNA is filed under the name uncultured prokaryote. RNAcentral describes it as "partial 16S ribosomal RNA". It matches the Rfam family "Bacterial small subunit ribosomal RNA", at positions 524 to 782 of the family's 1533-position model. The record is from RNAcentral.